This is a long non-coding RNA of Arachis duranensis, 301 nucleotides long. RefSeq lists it as uncharacterized. The record is from RefSeq and is a predicted model, not a curated record. Lineage: Eukaryota; Viridiplantae; Streptophyta; Magnoliopsida; Fabales; Fabaceae. The transcript is spliced from 3 exons.
CAUGGGGGAGCAGCAUGGCAAGUCUUUCGGAGGCUAUUUUUAAGGUUGAAUGAUUUUUGUGCACGCCCUUGGAACAAAAAAGUUGCGACUUAUUGCAACACUCCAUGCAAGCCGGUAGUUUCUAUUGCUGGAAUUUUUCUGCUUGUUCUCACUGUUAUUCAGACAGUAUUUUCUAUUCUCCAAGGAGUACAGUAGUACUAGAUUAAUGUUUGAUAUCCUUGUAAUUGAAGACCACUGCAUAAGGCAACUGCCUUCUCUGUAAUUGUGUAUCAAGUUUGAAUGUGAUAUUUUUUUAUUGUUG